GAGCUCAUAGUUUAGGUGGUUAAAACAUACCGCUCAUAACGGUAUCAUCGUAGGUUCAAGUCCUACUGAGCUUA
Molecule: transfer RNA, 74 nt
Filed under: Moramonas marocensis
Lineage: Eukaryota; Jakobea; Jakobida; Moramonadidae
Description: tRNA-Met
Rfam family: tRNA
About the family: Transfer RNA (tRNA) molecules are approximately 80 nucleotides in length. Their secondary structure includes four short double-helical elements and three loops (D, anti-codon, and T loops).
Source: RNAcentral